RNAcentral lists this transfer RNA (77 nucleotides) under Caudoviricetes sp. RNAcentral's name for it is "tRNA-Asp". It matches the Rfam family "tRNA". Rfam says of the family: Transfer RNA (tRNA) molecules are approximately 80 nucleotides in length. Their secondary structure includes four short double-helical elements and three loops (D, anti-codon, and T loops). Lineage: Duplodnaviria; Heunggongvirae; Uroviricota; Caudoviricetes. The record is from RNAcentral.
GGUGCCGUAGUUCAAUAGAGUAGAGCACUGGACUGUCACUCCAGAGGUUGCGGGUUCGAGUCCCGUCGGUAUCGCCA